RNAcentral lists this ribosomal RNA (462 nucleotides) under uncultured bacterium. RNAcentral's name for it is "bacterial SSU rRNA". It matches the Rfam family "Bacterial small subunit ribosomal RNA", at positions 338 to 796 of the family's 1533-position model. The record is from RNAcentral.
CCUACGGGGGGCAGCAGUGAGGAAUCUUGGACAAUGGGGGCAACCCUGAUCCAGCGACGCCGCGUGAAGGAUGAAGGUCUUCGGAUUGUAAACUUCUUUUAUUUGGGAAUAAAAAAUCCUUAGAAAUAAGGAGAUUGAAGGUACCAAAUGAAUAAGCCACGGCUAACUUCGUGCCAGCAGCCGCGGUAAUACGAAGGUGGCAAGCGUUACUCGGAAUUACUAGGCGUAAAGGGCAGGUAGGUGGUUCGGUAAGUCUGUUGUGUAAGCUCCCGGCUUAACUGGGAGAGGUCAACGGAAACUACCGGACUUGAGUAUAGGAGAGGUUACUGGAAUUCCCGGUGUAGCGGUGAAAUGCGCAGAGAUCGGGAGGAACACCAAUGGCGAAGGCAGGUAACUGGACUAUUACUGACACUCAGCUGCGAAAGCUAGGGGAGCAAACAGGAUUAGAUACCCAAGUAGUCC